Regulatory RNA element from Aerococcus urinaehominis, 75 nucleotides. The record is from Rfam. Lineage: Bacteria; Bacillati; Bacillota; Bacilli; Lactobacillales; Aerococcaceae.
CCGCAGCUACAACCGCUCGGACUUAAGUCUUAAAACCCGAUUUGGGUACUUAAGCUGGCGAGUCUAAGAAAAAAG